GUUCAAGGUCAGCUGCCGCCAUUAAUGAUUCCCGUAUUCCCUCCUGAUCAACGGACGCUGGCUGCAGCUGCCCAGCAAGGAUUCCUCCUCCCUCCAGGCUUCAGCUAUAAGGCUGGAUGUAGUGACCCUUACCCUGUUCAGCUGAUCCCAACUACCAUGGCAGCUGCUGCCGCAGCAACACCAGGCUUAGGCCCACUCCAACUGCAGCAGUUAUAUGCUGCCCAGCUAGCUGCAAUGCAGGUAUCUCCAGGAGGGAAGCUGCCAGGCAUACCCCAAGGCAACCUUGGUGCUGCUGUAUCUCCUACCAGCAUUCACACAGACAAGAGCACAAACAGCCCACCACCCAAAAGCAAGGAUGAAGUGGCACAGCCACUGAACCU
This 380-nucleotide small RNA is filed under the name Pongo abelii (Sumatran orangutan). Its description in RNAcentral is "processed transcript". The record is from RNAcentral. Lineage: Eukaryota; Metazoa; Chordata; Mammalia; Primates; Hominidae.